AUUGAACGCUGGCGGCAGGCCUAACACAUGCAAGUCGAACGAGUGGCGGACGGGUGAGUAAUGUCUGGGCACCUGCCUGAUGGAGGGGGAUCACAACUGGACACGGUAGCUACUACCGCAUACCAUCAGCCGUGCCCAGAUGGGAUUUGCGAGUUGGUGGGGUAAAGGCUCACCAAGGCGACGAACCCUAGCUGGUCUGAGAGGAUGACCAGCCACACUGGAACUGAGACACGGUCCAUACUCCUACGUGAGGCAGCAGGGGGGAAUAUUGCACAAGGGGCGCAAGCCUGAUGCAGCCAUGCCGCGUGUAUGAAGAAGGCCUUCGGGUUGUAAAGUACUUUCAGCGGGGAGGCGUUACCCGCAGAAGAAGCACCGGCUAACUCCGUGCCAGCAGCCGCGGUAAUUC
This 406-nucleotide ribosomal RNA is filed under the name uncultured bacterium. RNAcentral describes it as "partial 16S ribosomal RNA". It matches the Rfam family "Bacterial small subunit ribosomal RNA", at positions 30 to 526 of the family's 1533-position model. The record is from RNAcentral.